GCUAUUUGUGGUCUCCCAAACUUGCAGUCAGUGGACAUGAAAACCAAUAACAUUGUUGACCUGCCAGGCCCGGCAUCCUGGGUUUCCAGUAACCUCAGAGAGCUCAUAUUCAGUCAUAAUUCUAUCACAGCAUUGGAUCUGUGCGGGCCAAUCGAUAAGUGGGCCAGACUGGAAAAGCUCCACCUGAGUGACAACAAGCUUACUGAGAUUCCUCCACAGAUUGGCUCAUUGGAAGGU
Molecule: long non-coding RNA, 237 nt
Organism: Thalassophryne amazonica
Lineage: Eukaryota; Metazoa; Chordata; Actinopteri; Batrachoidiformes; Batrachoididae
Exons: 3
Source: RefSeq, a predicted model, not a curated record